Molecule: ribosomal RNA, 483 nt
Filed under: uncultured bacterium
Lineage: Bacteria
Description: partial 16S ribosomal RNA
Rfam family: Bacterial small subunit ribosomal RNA
Source: RNAcentral
AUUGAACGCUGGCGGCAGGCCUAACACAUGCAAGUCGAGCGGAUGAAGGGAGCUUGCUCCUGGAUUCAGCGGCGGACGGGUGAGUAAUGCCUAGGAAUCUGCCUGGUAGUGGGGGAUAACGUCCGGAAACGGGCGCUAAUACCGCAUACGUCCUGAGGGAGAAAGUGGGGAUCUUCGGACCUCACGCUAUCAGAUGAGCCUAGGUCGGAUUAGCUAGUUGGUGGGGUAAAGGCCUACCAAGGCGACGAUCCGUAACUGGUCUGAGAGGAUGAUCAGUCACACUGGAACUGAGACACGGUCCAGACUCCUACGGGGGGCAGCAGUGGGGAAUAUUGGACAAUGGGCGAAAGCCUGAUCCAGCCAUGCCGCGUGUGUGAAGAAGGUCUUCGGAUUGUAAAGCACUUUAAGUUGGGAGGAAGGGCAGUAAGUUAAUACCUUGCUGUUUUGACGUUACCAACAGAAUAAGCACCGGCUAACUUCGUG